GUCUCCCUUUGGGGACAUCUGAUCAAAUUGGAAUGAUACAGAGAAGAUUCUUAUGGCCCUGCACAAGGAUCUCACACAAAUUGAGAAAUGUUCCAAUUUUUU
This is a small nuclear RNA of Vigna unguiculata (cowpea), 102 nucleotides long. Lineage: Eukaryota; Viridiplantae; Streptophyta; Magnoliopsida; Fabales; Fabaceae. The record is from RefSeq and is a predicted model, not a curated record.